This 373-nucleotide ribosomal RNA is filed under the name uncultured bacterium. RNAcentral describes it as "bacterial SSU rRNA". It matches the Rfam family "Bacterial small subunit ribosomal RNA", at positions 523 to 898 of the family's 1533-position model. The record is from RNAcentral.
AUACGGAGGAUCCAAGCGGUGUUCGGAUUUAUUGGGUUUAAAGGGUGCGUAGGCGGAUUUUUAAGUCAGUGGUGAAAGCCUGUAGCUCAACUACAGAAUUGCCAUUGAAACUGAAAAUCUUGAGUAUAGUUGAGGUGGAUGGAAUGUUGCAUGUAGCGGUGAAAUGCUUAGAUAUGCAAUGGAACACCAAUAGCGAAGGCAGUUCACUAAACUAUUACUGACGCUGAGGCACGAAAGCGUGGGUAGCAAACAGGAUUAGAUACCCUGGUAGUCCACGCCCUAAACUUUGCAUACUAGUUAUUGGCGAUAUACUGUCAGUGACCAAGCGAAAGCGUUAAGUAUGCCACCUGGCGAGUACGACCGCAAGGUUGAA